RNAcentral lists this unclassified non-coding RNA (676 nucleotides) under uncultured Prochlorococcus sp. RNAcentral's name for it is "partial may contain 16S ribosomal RNA, 16S-23S ribosomal RNA intergenic spacer, and 23S ribosomal RNA". The stretch from base 1 to 96 matches the Rfam family "Bacterial small subunit ribosomal RNA", at positions 1438 to 1533 of the family's 1533-position model. The record is from RNAcentral. Lineage: Bacteria; Bacillati; Cyanobacteriota; Cyanophyceae; Synechococcales; Prochlorococcaceae.
CCCUUGUGGAGGAGGACGCCGAAGGUGGGGCUAAUGACUGGGGUGAAGUCGUAACAAGGUAGCCGUACCGGAAGGUGCGGCUGGAUCACCUCCUAACAGGGAGACAACAAAAUGUUUAAUAUUAAUUUUGUCACCUUAGGUCGAUCGGUAUCUCACAUUCUUAAUCAAUUUAAGAAUUUCAUAUCCUAAGUUUUUUCUAGGUCACACCCAUUACUUUUCCUGGGCCAUUAGCUCAGGUGGUUAGAGCGCACCCCUGAUAAGGGUGAGGUCCCUGGUUCAAGUCCAGGAUGGCCCAUAUCUCUAUGUUGGGGGUAUAGCUCAGUUGGUAGAGCGCCUGCUUUGCAAGCAGGAUGUCAGCGGUUCGAGUCCGCUUACCUCCACUGAUUACCACCUCUUCCAUGAUUUAAGGAAACGUUUUGUGUUGUGAUCAAAUUCUGAACGAAUCUAGCUUCCUAAUAAACACUAUUAAGAUGCUGGAAUCAUUGAAUUAAUUUCAUUGUUUUCAGAGAACCUUGACAACUGCAUAGAUUAUUUUAAAGACAAUAAGCAUCUUUAUGAUGCAGAUUUAUUAUUUGUGCAAAUGCAUUAAUAACAAUUCUAUUAAGCUGAUGCUUCAAUUUUUGAAGUUAUUGGUCAAGCUACAAAGGGCUCACGGAGGAUACCUAGGCACACAGAG